UUGAGGAGUUUGCUAAGAAGCACGAAGUGCUACAUCAUGGAUGUAAAGACAAAUGUAGGGCUAGUCUGCAUAAGACCGUUAGGAGAAGGCAGCAUCUGGUAUAGGUAAAUCUGUGUGCUUAUUCUUUCAAAUUAGUACAUUUCUCUAUGGUCAAUUAAACCUAUGAAUUUUAUAUUUGUAAAGUUUUUGAUAGAUUAUAUAAGUAGCUUUACAUACACAUCAUCUGUCUCGUGUGUGAUUAGAUUUUUAUCCUAGUUCUUGAAUGUCAUGUCUUGACCAAAUAAAUUCAUAAAUGAGAAUAAAUAAAUUUUUGUGUUUAAAAAUCAAGAUCACGUAUUCACCCCUCCCAAAAUUCGGAGAUUCAAGAUAAGAACCUUCAUUAGCAAUUACAAUAUACUCCAAAUGCCCACUUGAGCUUCCAUCAUAGACAUACUUCAAUGAAUUAACUUGAAAUUGGUCUUCUUUUGGUUAAAUUUCUUAAAUAUAUUAUAUCAUACAACUUUUCCUUUUAUAGGUAAAUUUUUGUCCCCAUUGGAACUUGAACCUGAACCUCCCACAAACCUUCCCCAUCCCUUUUACCACUUGAACCAGGCCUCAAGGGCAUAUUAUAUCCUACAACUAAAUGACAUCCAACUCAACUGUUAAGAAAAUUAAGCUUAAAUAAAAUAUCCUAAACGAAAUUUAACAAACCCAGUAGAGCUAUCUGACCAAAACUCACUUUGUUGAACAACAAUUGAUUAAACAGUAGAGUUGGAGUUACUAAUGUUGCAUAAGCCUAUUUCCAAACUGCCUUAAAUGUGAGUCCUAACUCCUAACCCUCCACAUCGAUCCACAAUAAUCCUCAAGUUAAAAAUGUGAGUCCUAAUAAAUGAUGCUCAAGUCAAAGAAUCAUUGACAAACGUUAGUACAGUAGAUCAUCUAGUUUUUCAUCCAAACAAUACAAUUCUAUUUAUCUUUUUUUCUCUUCUAAGCAACCAAACAGAGCAUUUUUCACAACCGAUGAACAAAAUCAAAACAAGAUACAUUGAGCGUAUACAUAUAUAAAGAGAAAGAGAAAGAACCUCAGGCUUGGUGAAAAUGCCCAAGUCACCAGUGAGUGGAUUCUUAGUUUCAACAACAUCAACAAUGACGUUAACAGUGCCAGGGAGCUCCGGCGGACCACAAUCAAGCGUAAUACCAACGGAAUCGAAGAUACCGAAGCUAUGAAACCUAUGAUUGGCGAUGCCAGCAGCCUUGAGCAGCUCUUGCAUUGUAGUGGCGUUCUUGAUGGCUUCCAGUUCGGCUUCGAUCAACGAGUCCUUGGUCUUGGUGUUUCCUUUAAUCAGAACAUCGUGAACUCGCAGCUUCACUUUCUCACUCGCCAAUCGUCGGAACAUGCUCUCCAAUUUGCUACCAUCCUCAGCCAAUCUCGAUUCUCUCGAUUUUUCGCUCCUUGCUUCUUCUUCCUCAUCCUCCUCCUCCGCUUCAUCUUCAUCUUCAUCUUCGAAGUCGCCAACGCCGUCAGCCUGAGAUUCUUCCCCUCCUUCUUCGUCGCCGUUAGGGUUUUCAGAGAUCGGAGUCUCCUCUUGGUUUUCUUUCAGUGCCAUUGACGGAGAUUAGAGGCGGAAACAGUAAUUUUGCUUGUAGUUCAGACGAUUUGUGACAAAUGCCUUUUAUUUAUACAUAUGAUGCUUUGCUUUGCUUUCCUUUGGGGUGUGAGAAUAUAGCCUCCAUCUGAUCUGGCACGAUCCUGCGCCCAAAUCUGCUGUCCAUCUUUCCAUCGGUUGAUUCCACCAAAACUGGGACCCAAUCGACUUUACACCGUAGGAUUAUAAUCGUAAAUAAAUAAAUCGAAGAAGAAUUAUAUAUAAUCUUAAAACAACCAAGAAAAAUAAAUUUUGAAAAGAAAAAAAAAUGGAUAUAGAAUGGGGGAAAAAUAUAAAAAAUGAACAAUCUUAUUAAAAGAAUGAACGUAUCAAACCUUUUGGUUGUAAUUACUUAAUUAUUUAUAUUUUAAAUUUAUUUUAUCUUUGAUUAUAAUCUUUAUUAAAAAAUAGUACGAAAUUAAAAAUUAAAAGAUAUAAAAAUUAUGACUGCUCACAAUUCUUUGUACUAAUAAGAUAAUAAUAAAAAAAUUAGGGUUAUGUUAGGGUACCGAAAAGUGCUUUUUCGGAAAUAUUAACAUUUCCUCGUAUCCAUAUUUAAAAAAACAAAAAAAGAAAAAAGAAAAAAAAAAUGCACACAUUUUUUAAAAUUUAAGACAAAUUACAAAGGUUAAAAUAAGUCCAUUUUCAGCUAAAAUGUGAAAAGAUGAUUAAUUCCAAAAACUAUAUAAAUUCCACUUAAUUUUUUUUAUCUGUAUCAAAGCAAUCAUUUUCACCCUUCAAUUCAUCGUCUCACUCUAUAAACUCUUCUAUGUUUUUCUGCACUGUCCUCUGUUUGGCUACUGAGAAAACAAAAGGUCAAAAGGAAAAUCAAGCAGAUGAUUUUAACUCAUCAGCCCAAAGGAUCCCUCAUUGUGGGCUUCCCAUAGGGAUUAGCUUAUUUCAAUUGUGUUCCUUCACUUUCUCUGCAACCAAAUGAACCCUAACUAUUUUUUUUUUCUCAUUUUCUUUCUUCUUCAUCUUCUUCUUCUAUUCAGUUUAAAGGAAAUGGGGAAGUGUUCAAACCGAGGAUUUUGAUUAAAUCAAGGAGCCCAUACAUCAAAACCAGCAGGAACUAGUAAUCCAUACCGAUGAAUUCACAAGAAAAAUAUCGAUUACUCUGAUGAGAAUAUGAGCAAUGCUUCAUCAGCAGUGUCCCCAGAAAAUAUAUUAACAGCAUCAGAAACAAAAUAUGAGACCUUUCUGUACUCUACAAAUGAACAACAGCCAAAUGACUUCCUUUUGAGGAGAGGUGGUGGGGAAAGCUCUUCCAGAGCUCUGGAUUUGAACUGUUGACAAAAACCAAAGGCUUCAAAUAUCCAUGAUUUUGAUCUUUAAUAAGGGUCCCUGUUUCAUAUGGGGAAGUUUGGUAAGUAGCCAUCUGUAGAAUAGGAAGGUGAAGUUGAAUAGGUGUGUUGGGCAAUGUUUUGAGUAUUGUUAUUAGAAAACAUCUUUCGACAAAGGUUCUUAUAAAGAAUUGUUAAUUGUUUUUAAAAAUAAAAUUAUGUUUGAAAACUCAAAUAUGAAAAACAAUUUUCUCGACUUAUUCUUUAUGAAAAUGUGACGAGCUUUUAAUGUAAGGAUUUUUAAGUAUUCUUUAUAUUUUCAACUAAUAGCUUAUUUGACAAUGUUUUUGAAAAGCAUUUUUAAAAAACGUUUUGAAAAAAAUCAAGUAAACUUGAAAAAUCAAUUACAAUACUUUCUUAAAAAGCACUUGAUAAGUGAUAUUCCAAAACAGUUUCUAGAUAAAAUGCUUCUAAUAAAAACAUUUUAAAUGAAAACACUCCCAAACACACCAUAAAUAUGCCUCAAAUUUGUUUUACAAAACAACCUUAUCCUCAAAACAAAUUCUCAAAAACAAAGUUUUGUGGGAAGAAAAAAAAAAAAUCUAUUCUAAAGAGCAGAAAAUUGCUUUCAAGAUGUUUCCAAACAGUCUAAACUUGACUGCAAUGCUGAAAACACAGCAGACAAAGCAAAGAGGGAGGUACCAAGUGAACGUGUUAAAGCUCUCGAUUGUUUUAGACCGAAAACUUUGGAAGCUAUCUGAAUCUUCAGAGUCUUCAUAGAAGCCAUAGAACUGCAAAUCACAAGUGGAUGAAUAGAAAAACAAAUGGAACUGCAUCCAACCAGGCUUCAAACUCAAAACCCCUAUGGUGGGCACUGGAAAUUGAAGACUAACCUUAUCAAACUUCCCAACCAUUGCUGAAUCCGCCUCGUCGUCUACCUGCAAACAAUCAGAGCCCAUGAGCCUAUUCUUCAGAAGUAAUGGAACCUCACUAUAAUUCAGAUUUAUUAGUUUACACAUCAAAGUUGGACUAGUUCAAUUACCUCUACCCUAUCAUGUUCUUCUUUGAGCAAGAUUUUCAGGUGUUCUGAAUUCACUUUUUCAGCUUGAAUGAUAUAUGGUUUCCUCUCCUAAUUAAAAAUACACAAAAUAAAAAAUGGAUGUAAUAAUCAUAUUAACAUUCUAACAAAACCCAAUACAAAUUUUCUUACAAAUUUAUACCUCCAUUGACAUUUUCUUCCAUGCUUCAAAUCCUAUUCGAUCAACAUGAAUCGGAUUUCCAGUCUUGCUGGCCUUCCUAAAGUUUUCCCUACAAAACCCCACCAACAGAAACAUACCCACCAGAUUUAGCUUCAAUUUUCCUUGAAUUUUUCACAACAUUUUCUGUAGGGAUUUCAACAGAGAGAAUAUAUAGAUAAGAGCAAUGAAGAAAGAGACAACACACAUGAAAAGCCUAAAAGGCGAUCUGGGUUCGCCCAAACACGUUUGUUUCCUCAGAUUUUGAACCCCACGCUGUCCUUUGAAUCUCUUCACAUCCCUCUUCAAUCCACAGUCAUGCAUAUCGGCCAGAGCUAUCGCCACCGAAACGCCACAACCAUGGCUGCAAAUAUCGGAACCCAUCAAACGAAACUGAACACAGAGAGAGACAGGGGGCUGAAUAAUACCAUUUCUCAAAGGCGCUUCCAUCAGGCCCACGACGAAAGCCACUGGCAAUGGCGUGGACCCUCUUCCGAGUUAUCGGCGGAUUCGCCAUCGCAGCCACGCCGCUCCGCUGCCUCACUCAGCCGUGCCCGCGCUGGCGCUGAGCUCUGGCGGUUGGCUAAAAUGAUCGUGUUCGUGUUGCCGGUGUAUGUUAGUGAGUGCGCCUUGCUAACUUGCACUCGCCAUCUUCGCGCGGGAAGAGGUACUAUAAGUUUUGGUAAUUAAUGAAAAAUAUCAGCUUUUUAAAACGUGAAAAAUGAAAAAUGAGUUCCCGCGCGGUGAAUUAAAAUGGCGCAGGAAAGGUAAAUGGAGGGCAGCCAAUAAGAGAGUGACACGUAAAAUUUACCGUGUAACAAGAACAGGUAUGAAGGGUAACCUGGUAAACCCAGCUUAGCCAACCAAUCCAAAUACAAAUUCAUUUUCUUUCUCCAAAGCACUUGUUACCACUACUCUAAUGUUCAAGGUCGGACUGAGUUGGGGCCUAUGGCUUCACUUCUUUGAACCCACUGCCAAUGUUAGCACACAUGUUUGAAUGAAAAACAAGGAUCGGAGGGUCAUAAUAAAUUUGGUGUAUUUAAAGCCUUCAUUUCCUUUAUUAUUAUUAUUAUUAUAUAUCAUAGCAUGAAAUUUAAUAUUUAUAUAGAAAGAUAAAUAAAAAGGUCAUCGCGAACAACAUUCCGCGCACGUGUGGAUCAGUCGCUUGUUUCAACGUGUGUGAGUGUUUCACACAGAAGAGAAUCCCAACUCUGGGCGCCUAGAUUCAAAAUUGAAGAUCGUCUCCAGUCUCAGUUGGACUACAACCAUGGCGAACACACUCCAUGGCGAUCUCUUCUCUUCUCUGAUUUCUGAUAUCAAAACCUACACUGGCAAAGACCCUCUUCUCCCAUGGCUCCGGUAAACAAACCAUUUUCUCCGUUUCUGCUAUUUUCGCAGCUUUCCUUCCCAUUUCAUACUCUAAAAUCUCCGCUGAGACAAACCCAUUUAUCCAUUUCCUGUGUUUCAUGUGAUUCAGUUUUGUUUUCGCAUCUGGAAUCUCUGCAAGAAAAAACCCCAUUUAAACCAAUUCCUGCGUUUCUUUAAAAACAAACUUCUGCUUUCUGUGAAUCCUUUGAUUUCUCUGCCUCUGUUUCCAUUUGAUAUUAUGCACACUCUUCAAAAUCAAACCCAUUUUUCUGUUUUCUAUGUUUCAUAUGACUCAGUUUCCAUUUCACAGUAUCGAAUUUCUUCAUAAAGAAAUCCACCUCCGUGUGGCAUUUUGUAUUCUCGGCUUUUAUUCCCCUUAAUUUCAUGUGAAUGGGAUGGUGUUACAGGGGGAUUCGGAAGAUGAUGGAGUCUCUGCCGCCGCAGCUUCUGAAAGAGAAGCUCCCUCGAUUUCUACAGAAAUGCGCGCAGACCUUUGAGACUGAUCGGCGUUACACAAAUGAUAUGCGGUACCUUCGUGUUUGGUUGCAAUUGGUAAAUCAGAUUUCCCAUCACUGUGUUUUUUGUUUCCAUCAAAUAUUAUGUUCGCGGGUCAUUUGGUUUCCGGUGAUUCUUUUUCAUUAUAUGUUUGGUCUUUCAGAAAACUCAGGAAAAGGAAAGUAAAUAGAAGUUCUUCUAGCAUUGAUGUUUUGUAUUAUUUCUUGUUUACUGGACAUGGAAAUCCCUCCUGUACUAAUCAAAGAAGUGUAUUAGAAAAUGCCAACUAGGCUUUUUGAAAUGUCGCAAUCUAGAUCAAAGUAGAAUGAAGGGGAGUAUUUUUAGGUACUGGAAGGGAGUAUGCAGGAAAAAGCAUAAUGAGAUUGUUGUAAAUUAGGCUCUUUUUAGUGGAGGUUUCUUUUUUCCUCACAAUUUUCUAGGCAACCAAAUGGAGCAUUAAUGAUUGACUGGGGUUUUUUUUGUUUUCUUUUGAUGCUUGAGUAGAUGGAUUUUGUGGAUGAUCCGAGAGGACUUUUGAGAACUAUGGAAAUUAAUCACAUUGGGGAGAAGCGGGCCUUGUUUUACCAGGCAUAUGCUCUUUACUAUGAGAAGAUCAAGAAAUUUGAGGAGGCUGAUAAGAUGUACCACUUGGGAGUGCAAAAGUAAGUCAUCCAACUUCCAAAUAGUUUCUUCGGUUUUUGAAGUAUUCCUCUCACACAAACAGUGAAGGAAUAACAUUUUUCUGAUAAAGUCCUGAUCCUAUAUCUUUUUUUGAUGAACAAAUGGAGCAUCUAUUAAAGAGUGCCAAAGAAAGGGGCACACCCUAUGUACACAGGUAGCAUACAGAGAGCAUCAUAGCACAAACAUCAAAAGGCAUAUACAAAAAAACAGCCUUAAAAAACUAUACACAGAUAAGGCUAUCAUUGAGAAACUCUCUAAUUCCAACCAAGUGUGGGACCGCUCCAACAGUGAUUUAAUGAAGUACUCCUUCAGCUUUUGAUAUGGAGGUUCUUCUUCAUUGAAAAUCCUUUCGUUAUGCUCUUUCCACAUACACCAAAACAAACAAAGGGAAGCCAUGCUCCAAACAAUUCUGUUCUUCCUAUCCAACCCCUUAAAUUUCCACUUGAGAAGGGGAUUUCUCACUAAAGUUGGAAACACCCAUUUCAGGUCAAAGAUUGCUAAAAGCAAUGUCCAUAGCACUCUUCUACUCACAACGUAUCAAGAUGUGAUCAGAUGAUUUUUCACUAUCUUUCCAAAUGCUACAUUUGUUGACUAUUGUCUAUCCCCUCUUUAUUAAAAUAUCUAAUAAGAUCUUCCCCUACUACUUCCCAAGCCAAAAAAAAAAAAAGAAACACAUUCACAAAGGAGCUUACCCCAAAUUUCUUUGGCUGGGAAUACUACUUUAGUCUCAAUGCAUAAGGAGUUACAAUAUAAUUUUACACUAAAAUUGCCCCUCCUAUCUUUAAGUGUCCUCUCCUUGUCAAUAGAAGCUUUAACCUUAUAGUGAUUACUGGUUCUGCUUGCAGAGAGUAGAAACUCUGAAUCUAUCGGUUGUUAAUUGGAGGAGUCAUCCCACCAUCUGGAUGUAUUGACAUAAUAUACCCAGUUAAGGAUAUAAGUGGGACAUGAUUUAAUCAUUGAAAACAUGGUUUAGAGUUAUGUUCACCUCUUAUGAGCUGCUGAACAGUCUUGCAGAGCCUCUUGAAGAGUUGCAGAAAUCGUAUGAGCAGUUCCUUCAUCGCUUGGAGAGACACAAGAACAGGAGAAUCCAGGUUGCUUUUUGUUGAUUUUCUGAGAUGGGUUUUUUCUUGUAGUUUCGAAACCCUCAAUUUACUAACAGUAGUCAAAUGUCUUGCAGCGCCAGGAAGGGAGAAAAACCAAUAAACCUCCUGCUAGGGUUCUCACUCAGCAUUGUGGUGAGACUAAAGAAAACAAUGAAAAUAUGCAGAGAGUUGAGAGACAGCAUACAGGAACAUGGCCCGAGGAAUCUUCACCUAAAACAUUACAUAAUCACAAAAGUGCAGAGACUAAUAAUGUGUCGAAGGAAAGCUCACAUGAUGCGAUGCCAAUGGAAGAAUCUAACCGCGUUAGACUAUCAGAAAAAUUGUGUGAUGGUGGAACGGAUAGCAUUCCAUCCUUGAAGAAGGAAGUCAUUACAAAUAUUGAACCUGUGGCUUAUUCCAACCAGCAAGAAUUUACUGAAACAAAGUUAGAUAGACCGAGCACAUUCUGCGAGGAUCCACUUCUGGUGAAGUUUCUAGACACUGCCGUUGUUGGAAAGUCUGAAGCAGAAGAUGCCUGCCAUCAUGGUCUUGUUGAACCUACUAUUAACAUGAAGGAAGCCAUGAAUGCCAUUAAUAACAUGUUUCGAGAACCUUUAGAGCCAGCUAUGGUUGGUAGGGCAACCAGACGCCGUCCCAGAGUUGAUAAUAGUUUGAACAACGGAUUUAAGGUGUUUGUUGAUGAAAACUUAGAUAAUGGUGUUGGAUCAUCAUAUCAAAAGAAAGAUAAGGAUUUUCUGCCAGUGCAAGGCAGUGGAACUGAUGCACUUGGGGCCAAAGCUGACAAAAGAUUGAAUGCUGGAUUUGAGGUGUUUGUCGAUGAAAAUUUAGAUAACAGGGUUGGAUUGUCAGAUCAUAAAAAGGAAGGGUUUUUUCCACUGCUGCAACCUACUAAACAUGACACAAGGUCUCACCAAGAGUCGUUCAAUAUAUUUAUUGAUGAAGAAGAGGCCAAUGGGGUUGGAGACAGAAAUGAUGAGAAAGAUCACUUGGAGGAAGAAAGUGAAGUCCAAGAUGGGACAGAAGAUUCAGGUGUAAAUGUUUUCGUGUUCCCAAGUCCAAAGGAUGAUCCAUCUGAAUCUUCUGAUAAUCUGCAUGCAGAGAACUCAUCUCGACCGAAAUUUAGAGAGGACACAGUCGUUUGUAGGUUUGUGGGAUCCACCAUCUUGGAUGAACCAGAGGUGGAAAAUGUUUGUCACCAUGGAUUAGUAGAACCUACAAUUAACUUGAAGGAGGCAAUGAAUGAUAUCAAUAACAUGUUUGGGAAGCCGAUAGAAUUUGCAAGGAAAAGAAGACCAAAGAAGCAGGAUAAGGUACCUGACACAAAGAGAGAUUUUGGUGGAGGGUUCUCAAUACUUCCUGAUGAUGAUUUGGAAUCUCAAAAAGGGUUUUCAAUACUUCCUGAUAAUGAUUUGGCAUCUCAACAAGGGUUUUCAAUACUUCCUGAUAAUGAUUUGGCAUCUCAACAAGGGUUUUCAAUACUUCCUGAUGAUGAUUUGGAAUCUCAGCAAGGUCGAUCCCUACCAAAAUCAUCCCACAAAUCAAGGGAAUUUGAUUUGUCUGAGCCUACUGUGUUUACAAAAGAGGCCAUGGAUGAGAUAAAUAAGAUGUUUGGAAUGCCACUGGACUUUUAGGACCAUGACCAACACUGUAUUUCUGAAAUUUUGUGCUUGUAGUUGAUGUACAACUGGUUUUCUUGAUCUGAUUGAUAUAUUAGAAACAUCAAAUUUGCUCUUGAGCCUUGGCUCAAAUGGCAAAGUUUGACUCAUGGUUUGAAAAUGAUGCUUCUAUGUUUGUACUGAUAAACAUGUAUUUGAAAUAUGAGAUUGGUCUGGUUUGAUUUCAUCUUUUCCUUUUCUUUUUCAUUGCCUUUGAACUGUCUAUUUGUCAUAUCCAUGUUUCAGCUAAUGGUACAGCACAACUGUGACUGAAUCAUUCAUUUAUUUGCUUUUGGGGGAUUUUCUACAAUUGAAUCCAGUUUAUUCAAGAAGAAAACAAAAUCCCAACUUGUUUGGAAAGGAACUGUUGAAUCAACAGGAGCUAAAAAAAAUGGAAGGAAACUGACUGAACAUCAAUGCGAAGCUUACAAACAAAUGGUAAUAAAAUCAGUCAUGAGUCUUUGGAGGGCAAUGAGCAGGACGGAAAGCCAAGGGACCUGCAGCAUAGAUCACAGCCUCAUAAUGCUUCCCAAACAAUCUCUUGUUCUCAUAGCGAAGUGGGGAACCAUAGAGACCAUAGUUGACAUUGGAGAGAAGGUUGCAGUUCUCAAGAGGCGAGGAAACAAGCUUCACAUGGCAUGAGUGGAGGGGAUGAUCCAGAAUAUUAUGGCUCAUCUUGAAGCCAUCAAGUUCAGCAUAGAAGUAACCGUUCCCAUCGGUCUCAAAAGCCUUGUAGAAGCUGACUUGAUCCUUGUGGUCUUUGCAGAUGACACUGACUUUAGCAGCAGGGAUAGGCUCAGCCCCAGUUAAGGACCAUGAUCCAAACUGGUCACAGCUCUGGCAGUAGACCAUGCCUUCCACCACCACUGCUGCUGUCUUCUCCUCUGUUUUUUUGGGGAUUUCUUCGGCCAUGGUGACUGAAGGGAAGGACAAAGAGAGAAGCAGGCAGGAUGAGAUGAAAAUCUUGAGUUUUCUGCUCUCCAUAAUUGUUGGAAAGGUGGUUAGAGUUCUGUGACUUGAGGAAGAUGACUAUUUAGGAUGAGGAGAUAAUGGAAGGGGAUUGUAUUUAUAGUAUAUUGAUUUAGUUGAGUUGAACUUCUCAUUGACGUGAGGGCCACUAUGCUUCAUACUACGUGAAGCCAACCUUCCCCCUUUUCUAAUUGACUAUUUAUGGCAUCUUCCUAUACCAAGAGUUGGAGAAAAUGGAAGUGGGAAGAAAAUAUAAUUACAAGCUUCCUACUUUUUGACUUCAAAGGAAAUUUGAAGUGGAAAUCAAAGUUAUAAUUUUUAAAGAAUAAUAUUAAUAAUAUUUAAUAAACUUAUUACAUAAGUCAAAACAAUAUUAUUGUAAAAAGUAAUAUUUUUUUAAUUUUCAUAUUAAGAUUUUGAAAUAAAAUUAAGUAAACAAUCACUGAAUUUCUUACUGAACUUAAUGUAAAACUUUUAGCUUAUCAGGAAUCAAUCCAUACAUGAACCCAAUGACCCAUUCUUAAAAAAUUAUAAUUAAAAAUUUGUGUAGACCCAUUCUUAAAACCUGUUUUAAAAAAUUUGUCUACAAAUGAAUCAUUUCUAGGACACAUCAGAGAGACAGACUACUUUUCCCCUUCACAUUUUGGAAUGAGUUAGCAUAAAGUCAGAAUCACCUUCUUUUUACAUUUUAUUUUAGGAAGGAUAAUUUUUCAUUCCUGUGGUCAUGAUGCUGGCUGCUGCAAGUCUUUUCAAGGAUUCGAUUCAGCACUGUUAGGUUGAGAUGGUUCAAGAUGUGCAAGUUGGGGCAAAAGACUAACAAUUAGGAGCAACCCCACAAAAGGGAAAUGAGAAGGAAAAUAAUAAUUAAAAAGAAAGAAAGAAAGUGGUUGGAAAUGAGACAAAGGAUGACUCCAUUCCAAUUCCAUUCUUGUCAUAUUUGUUAUCCACAUUGCAGCCAGCAUCCAUGCAUGGAACAAAAGAAGUUGAAUUGGGUGAAGCAAAAUAGGAUAGUAAUACAAUAAUUCAAAACUUAUAUAAUUUUCAGAAAGUACACAAAGAUUGCUGUGUGCUGUCACAGCAAAAGAAAGCCUUUUUUUUUUUUUUCUUUUUUCUGUGCACUCUGACAGCCAAAUUUUGGACAGCAAAACCGAAAGAAAUGGCAUUCACCAAUUCAUUUAUAUACAAGAAGCAUACGAUUGCCUCUACAUUAAAUACAGAUGGGUAUCAAACCUAAAGGCGACUGCUUCUGUGCCUGAGAAACUACUUACAAUGAAAACUUCAACUCUUAGCUUGCUUCUGUGGACAAUAUCUCAAGCUCUGCCCACCACAGAGGAGAAAGCUUGGGGAUUGCUCCAUCAGGACCUAUUUCGGUUAUUUCUCUCAUUCUUGCAGUGACGUCUCUCAUUGUUGGUCUUUGUUUUGGGUCAGGGUUUACACAAGAUUUGAUUACUUCACGGAUACUCUCAAGCUGCUCCUCUUGGAAGAAUUUUAGGGUUGGAUCCACCAUUUCUUUGAUGGGUCGGUCCCCUUGCAAAUAGUUUGAUGCCCAGUCCUCAAGCGAGCCGUUAUCCACUGAGUAAGGAACUCUACCUGUUAUCAUUUCAAACAAAAUUACACCAAAGCUGUAGACAUUACUUUCUGGGUCUGCUGAUGGUGAAGCAGAAAGCUCCACUCUGGGUGACUUCAUCUCAGUGGCAGCCAUCACAUUCCAGACGCUGAAAUCUGAGACCUUGGCUGCAUAGUCUUCAGCAAGAUUAACCGCUGAAGAGUUCAGAUUCUCAUGGGCUAUAGGCGGGGUCAAUUGGUGGAUAUGGUUGAGGUAGUAUGCCAUGCCCAUUGCAGCUCUCAGCCGCAUUGCCCAGUCCAAGUGUUCAGCUUCUUUUACUGCAGGAUUCACCAGAAUUAGAGAUCUUGCCCUAAAGCAAAUAGUCAACAAAAGGAUAAUGGCAUAUGAAAAAUAAUUAUCCUUAAACAUAGGCAUAAAAAUAUUCCUGGUCAUAAUGAUGCAGCCACCUUAACAUCCCAUUCAAGUGCUCAUCAGCAAAAACGAAAGCUGACUGCAAACCUCGGUUCCAUUUAUUUUUUCCCUUGCAUGACAUGUUUCAUAACUAGAUGGCCUCAAAUGGGAGGUGACCGCAUCAUAGGCAUAAGGAGAUUCCUAUGGUUAGUAACGGAAAUUUCAGAAAUGAAGAACUUGCUAGUGAUAAUAUUCUGACAAAUGGUCAAAUGAAUAUGUUUGAACCCCCAAAGUCAAACAUGCAAAUUGAGUCUUUUGAUGUAAUGUAAAAGAGAGUAUACAACUUGCACAGGCAAUUUGUGCUGACCAAGUCAGUUCGGUAGUGAUAUGAAUAAGUCAAACGUUGAUUCUGGUACAUCACAUAGCCAUAAACAUUUGAAAUCAAAUUUUAUCACAAAAAUUUUUCUAACUUAAUUCUGAUGGCUCUUGAGGUUGAAACAGAACCAUUAUAUCAGUUGAUGUGGAGUACAGGAUGAUUUCUCAAGUCAAGAAUGCUCAUCCUUCAGGCUCUAAAUGGUCCGUGUAAUCAACUGAAUAUAGAGUAACUUGCCAAGUUAUAUCCUGAUUUUGACCAUAAAUUAAAGUCCUUUUAAGAAAAUGAUAAGAAAAAGAAUUUGAUGCUUACUAUGUAAAUGCUCAAAAAGCGUUCCAUUCGGAGCAUAUUCAAAAACCAUCAUUCUGGUGAAAGGUUCCUCUUCUUCACAAUAUCCGAGAAGGUUGACAAAAUUCUUGUGGUUCACUUUUGAUAACCUUUCGAUCUGAAACCACAACCAAAGAAAAUGUAAGGACUACCAAGAUGAAUCAAAACCACAAAGUUUAGUGGAUGUAAUCUCUCAAGUACCUUCUUCCUGAACUGCACUUCUAGAUUUUUUGACCAAUCCUUGGAAGAUGUCACUGCAGCAGAUGUCACAGCUAUUUCAACUCCGCUAGACAAUGUUCCUUUGUACACGGUCCCUAUUGACGAAGAACCAAUUACAUUACUGAAGUCUUCACAAGCUGUUUCAAGCUCCGACCUCUUCAGCUUUGGUACACCUGAAAUGCAGAUAUCAGGUCAUGCAUACAUAAGGCACAGAACCAUUAAUACGAACAUGAGCAAUAUACAGGGAACAGAAGAGGGGGUUGGAACAAUUACCGGUUACAAAGACCUUCUGAAGCUGCCCACUUAAUCCUGUGGCCCAAGGUUUAACAGUGGCCACUUUAUUGGUUCUAAAGAGAUAUAUGCAAAUAAUGCAAAUGAAAACAAGUACAGAACCGCCUAUUACACCAACCAAUAGCAGAGUGUGUUUCAAAUUUGAUUUCCCGGAAGAGCUUUCUGAGGGGGAAGAGGAUGAUGUGUUAGUAAGGGAGGGCCCUGAAGAAGAAACAGAUGGAUCAGAGGAAUUCGGGCUUGGUGUUGGCACAGGUGUUGUGGUAGAACGAGUCUGGAAUUCUGGUGACGGUGACGGUGACGGCAAAGGUGAAGAUGAAGGUGAAGGUGAAGGUGAAGGUGAAGGUGAAGGUGAAGAGGGAGGUAUGCGAACUCUGCGAUCCUCAGCUGUUGACAGUAGUCUGUGAUGAACUACAUCUUCAGUCUGGUCGGUUUUCCUUAAGAAAAAGAAGAGAGAUUGUCA
This 14041-nucleotide long non-coding RNA is filed under the name Vitis vinifera (wine grape). Its description in RNAcentral is "long non-coding RNA (VVIN_LNC003994)". Lineage: Eukaryota; Viridiplantae; Streptophyta; Magnoliopsida; Vitales; Vitaceae. The record is from RNAcentral.